AUAUACAGAGAACCACGUGGAGAAAAAGCACGCCUGUUUGGAGCCGGUGGUGCAAGGAAAGAAGUGGACUGGAAUCUCAUAGGUCCCGGCGCUGGAAAGACUGAGACAGAGGGUCACAUCACAGGAAAAGGGGAGGAAACAACAUCAUCAUAGUCAUCGUCAUCAUCAUCAUCUUCUUCCUCCUCUUCCUCCUCCUUACCACCGCCGUCACCACCACCGCCACCGCCACCACCAUCAUCAUCAUUAGCGCAACAGCUUCAAGGCGAGCCAACUCAGCAGCAGGAGGGAGGCUUCCUUCUGCAAUCUCCCUUUUAUCUGGGCUGCUACCAGAAGGUGCCUCCACAAUCCCAGUGGCUCUCCCCUCAUCAAUUAAGGGGAUCAGGACAUUCUUCAGUCCAUUAUGGGUGGAGCCACCCCUAGGCUCCAUAAGAAAGCAGACCAAGCAAGCCAUGGGGAGCAAGCCUAUAAGCAGCACCCCUCCAUGGCUUCUGCAUCAGCUCCUGCCUGCAGGUUCCUACUCUGCUUGAGUUCCUGCCCUCACUGCUUUUGAAGAUGGAAAGACAGAUGGAACUGAAGAAGACAGCAGAACACAGAUGUGUGUGUACACAGAGGGAAGACCAGGCGAAGAUACCAGAUGAUAGCCUUCUACAAACCAAGCACAGAGAUCUUAGGGGAGAAAAAUCUCUUUAAAAAUAAAUUAAUUAAAAAUGCUAUUA
This is a long non-coding RNA of Mastomys coucha (southern multimammate mouse), 716 nucleotides long. RefSeq lists it as uncharacterized. The transcript is spliced from 4 exons. The record is from RefSeq and is a predicted model, not a curated record. NCBI's taxonomy places the organism in Eukaryota, Metazoa, Chordata, Mammalia, Rodentia, Muridae.